RNAcentral lists this transfer RNA (73 nucleotides) under Peniophora lycii. Its description in RNAcentral is "tRNA-Glu". It matches the Rfam family "tRNA". From Rfam's summary of the family: Transfer RNA (tRNA) molecules are approximately 80 nucleotides in length. Their secondary structure includes four short double-helical elements and three loops (D, anti-codon, and T loops). RNAcentral also lists the same sequence under 1 other name. Lineage: Eukaryota; Fungi; Basidiomycota; Agaricomycetes; Russulales; Peniophoraceae. The record is from RNAcentral.
GGUCUUUUCGUAUAAUUGGUUAGUACAAUUACCCUUCACGUAGUAAAUGCCGGUUCGAUCCCGGUAAAGACUA